RNAcentral lists this ribosomal RNA (487 nucleotides) under Acidovorax sp. Sand_R2A_G1. Its description in RNAcentral is "bacterial SSU rRNA". It matches the Rfam family "Bacterial small subunit ribosomal RNA", at positions 116 to 599 of the family's 1533-position model. The record is from RNAcentral. Lineage: Bacteria; Pseudomonadati; Pseudomonadota; Betaproteobacteria; Burkholderiales; Comamonadaceae.
CAUCGGAACGUGCCCGAGAGUGGGGGAUAACGAAGCGAAAGCUUUGCUAAUACCGCAUACGAUCUCAGGAUGAAAGCAGGGGACCGCAAGGCCUUGCGCUCACGGAGCGGCCGAUGGCAGAUUAGGUAGUUGGUGGGAUAAAAGCUUACCAAGCCGACGAUCUGUAGCUGGUCUGAGAGGACGACCAGCCACACUGGGACUGAGACACGGCCCAGACUCCUACGGGAGGCAGCAGUGGGGAAUUUUGGACAAUGGGCGCAAGCCUGAUCCAGCCAUGCCGCGUGCAGGAUGAAGGCCUUCGGGUUGUAAACUGCUUUUGUACGGAACGAAAAGACUCUGGUUAAUACCUGGGGUCCAUGACGGUACCGUAAGAAUAAGCACCGGCUAACUACGUGCCAGCAGCCGCGGUAAUACGUAGGGUGCGAGCGUUAAUCGGAAUUACUGGGCGUAAAGCGUGCGCAGGCGGUUAUAUAAGACAGAUGUGAAA